RNAcentral lists this ribosomal RNA (514 nucleotides) under uncultured Ascomycota. RNAcentral's name for it is "eukaryotic LSU rRNA". The stretch from base 146 to 300 matches the Rfam family "5.8S ribosomal RNA". Lineage: Eukaryota; Fungi; Ascomycota. The record is from RNAcentral.
CAUUACCGAGUUAGGGUCUUACAUGGCCCAACCUCCAACCCCUUGUGUACAUUGAAUUGUUGCUUCGGCAGGCCAAUGUGCCUGCCGGAGCCCUAAAUCAAAAACAUUUUAUGGUGUCGUCUGAGUUUAAACAUCAAAUCAUUAAAACUUUCAACAACGGAUCUCUUGGUUCCCGCAUCGAUGAAGAACGCAGCGAAAUGCGAUAANGUAAUGUGAAUUGCAGAAUUCAGUGAAUCAUCGAAUCUUUGAACGCACAUUGCGCCCCUUGGCAUUCCGAGGGGCAUGCCUGUUCGAGCGUCAUUAUAAAAUCUCAAGCCUCUUGCUUGGUGUUGGGUCUUCGUCCCUCCCCCAUGAAAGGGGGGGCUGGACGUGCCUGAAAAUCAGUGGCGGUGCCACGAUGGUCUCAAGCGUAGUAGACUCUCUCUCGCUUUGGAUGGCUUGUCGUAUGGCUCACCAGCCUCAUCAUUAGAUGAACUUCUAAAAAGGUUUGACCUCGGAUCAGGUAGGGAUACCC